Non-coding RNA from Pelobates cultripes (western spadefoot toad), 278 nucleotides. The record is from the annotation of a GenBank genome assembly. NCBI's taxonomy places the organism in Eukaryota, Metazoa, Chordata, Amphibia, Anura, Pelobatidae.
CAGAAAUAGUACUUCCGUUUCUCCAUAAACCUAGAAUGUGCUCCUAAUUGAAGGUAUACAGUUUGCUUUUGGUAAAAGUGAAGAAAAUGCAAAGAACAUAUCGUGUUUGCAUCUAUUGAUGCAGUCAUUGAGUUAAUUCUCUCUUGACUGAAUAGUUUAGGAAGCCUGUCAAAUGAUGCACUGAUUUAGGAACAUAACAUAUAGAAAAAGCUAUUGCAAAGGGAGACACAUCAUUGUUUAAUAUAUAGAUGUUAUCAAGAAAUCGAGCCAUGAGCCAG